RNAcentral lists this ribosomal RNA (253 nucleotides) under uncultured bacterium. RNAcentral's name for it is "partial 16S ribosomal RNA". It matches the Rfam family "Bacterial small subunit ribosomal RNA", at positions 524 to 776 of the family's 1533-position model. The record is from RNAcentral.
UACGGAGGGUGCACGCGUUAGUCGGCAUUACUGGGCGUAAAGGGUGCGUAGGCGGGGAUGUAAGUCAGACGUGAAAUUCCGAAGCUCAACUUCGGAGCGGCAUCUGAAACUGCAUUUCUAGAGGAAGAGCGGAGAAAACGGAAUUCCAUGUGUAGCGGUGAAAUGCGUAGAUAUAUGGAGGAACACCUGUGGCGAAAGCGGUUUUCUGGCUUACUCCUGACGCUGAGGCACGAAAGCAAGGGGAGCAAACAGG